AUGAAUCCGAAUUUUUGUAUCCCUUUAUCCAGCUUCACAUCAUGUGAUAUAUUGGAGGAAAACAAAAUUAUCAUGGUAACAUUUACUUACUGUAAAUCUGUAUUGAUUCGUGAUAUUGAAGAUAGUGUAGCUUUCUCAGUGUUUCCAAUUACUGUCCUCUUAAAUACUCACAUCAAAAAGCUUUUCGUAAUUCCAGAUCCCAUCGAAGGUCUCUUCCGCUGCCUGGCCUCAAGAGCAGAUUGUUCCACAGGACUGGCAACUGAGGGACAUUAUUUUGGUGACAAAUCAUUAGAUAUGAUGAUCUGA
This 306-nucleotide ribosomal RNA is filed under the name Triticum aestivum (bread wheat). Its description in RNAcentral is "partial small subunit ribosomal RNA". The record is from RNAcentral. Lineage: Eukaryota; Viridiplantae; Streptophyta; Magnoliopsida; Poales; Poaceae.